GAUGAAGAACGUAGUGAAAUGCGAUAAGUAGUGUGAAUUGCAGAAUUCAGUGAAUCAUCGAAUCUUUGAGCGCACAUUGCGCCCCUUGGUAUUCCAUGGGGCAUGCCUGUUCGAGCGUCAUUUGUACCUUCAAGCUUUGCUUGGUGUUGGGUGUUUGUCUCGCAUUUGCGUGUAGACUCGCCUUAAAAUAAUUGGCAGCCGGCGUAUUGAUUUCGGAGCGCAGUACAUCUCGCGCUUUGCACUCAUAACGACAGCGUCCAAAAGUACAUUUUACACUCUUGACCUCGGAUCAGGUAGGGAUACCCGCUGAACUUAAGCAUAUCAAUAAGCGGAGGA
RNAcentral lists this unclassified non-coding RNA (336 nucleotides) under soil metagenome. RNAcentral's name for it is "partial contains 5.8S ribosomal RNA, internal transcribed spacer 2, and large subunit ribosomal RNA". The stretch from base 1 to 120 matches the Rfam family "5.8S ribosomal RNA", at positions 35 to 154 of the family's 154-position model. The record is from RNAcentral.